CCUACGGGAGGCAGCAGUGGGGAAUUUUGGACAAUGGGCGAAAGCCUGAUCCAGCAAUGCCGCGUGAGUGAAGAAGGCCUUCGGGUUGUAAAGCUCUUUUGUCAGGGAAGAAACGGUGAUUUCUAAUACAGAUUGCUAAUGACGGUACCUGAAGAAUAAGCACCGGCUAACUACGUGCCAGCAGCCGCGGUAAUACGUAGGGUGCAAGCGUUAAUCGGAAUUACUGGGCGUAAAGCGUGCGCAGGCGGUUAUGUAAGACAGAUGUGAAAUGCCCGGGCUUAACCUGGGAACUGCAUUUGUGACUGCAUGGCUAGAGUUUGGCAGAGGGGGGUAGAAUUCCACGUGUAGCAGUGAAAUGCGUAGAUAUGUGGAGGAACACCGAUGGCGAAGGCAGCCCCCUGGGUCAAGACUGACGCUCAUGCACGAAAGCGUGGGGAGCAAACAGGAUUAGAUACCCUGGUAGUCCCACGCCCUAAACGAUGUCUACUAGUUGUCGGGUCUUAAUUGACUUGGUAACGCAGCUAACGCGUGAAGUAGACCGCCUGGGGAGUACGGUCGCAAGAUUAAAACUCAAAGGAAUUGACGG
Molecule: ribosomal RNA, 586 nt
Filed under: uncultured bacterium
Lineage: Bacteria
Description: bacterial SSU rRNA
Rfam family: Bacterial small subunit ribosomal RNA
Source: RNAcentral